RNAcentral lists this ribosomal RNA (492 nucleotides) under uncultured bacterium. RNAcentral describes it as "partial 16S ribosomal RNA". It matches the Rfam family "Bacterial small subunit ribosomal RNA", at positions 29 to 507 of the family's 1533-position model. The record is from RNAcentral.
AGUGAACGCUGGCGGUAGGCCUAACACAUGCAAGUCGAACGGCAGCACAGUAAGAGCUUGCUCUUACGGGUGGCGAGUGGCGGACGGGUGAGGAAUACAUCGGAAUCUACUUUUUCGUGGGGGAGAACGUAGGGAAACUUACGCUAAUACCGCAUACGACCUAAGGGUGAAAGCAGGGGAUCUUCGGACCUUGCGCGAUUGAAUGAGCCGAUGUCGGAUUAGCUAGUUGGCGGGGUAAAGGCCCACCAAGGCGACGAUCCGUAGCUGGUCUGAGAGGAUGAUCAGCCACACUGGAACUGAGACACGGUCCAGACUCCUACGGGAGGCAGCAGUGGGGAAUAUUGGACAAUGGGCGCAAGCCUGAUCCAGCCAUACCGCGUGGGUGAAGAAGGCCUUCGGGUUGUAAAGCCCUUUUGUUGGGAAAGAAAAGCAGCAGGUUAAUACCCCGCUGUUCUGACGGUACCCAAAGAAUAAGCACCGGCUAACUUCGUG